GAUGAACGCUGGCGGCGUGCCUAAUACAUGCAAGUCGAACGAAUAGAUUAUGAGCUUGCUUUUCUGCCCUGAGCGGCGGACGGUUGAGUAACACGUGGAUAACCUACCUUUACGUCUGGGAUAACUUCGGGAAACCGGUGCUAACACCGGCUAAUAUCUCGUACCGCAUUUUUCAGUAGUGAAAGACGGUUUUGCUGUCUCUUAUAGCUCUAUCCGCUCCGAAUUAGCUAGUUGGUAAGGUAACGGCUUACCAAGGCAACGAUGCGUAGCAGACCUGUGAGGGUGAUCGGCCACACUGGAACGGAGACACGGUCCAGACUCCUACGGGAGGAAGCAGUAGGGAAUCUUCCGCAAUGGGCGAAAGCCUGACGGAGAAACGCCGCGUGAGUGAUGAAGGUCUUCGGAUCGUAAAACUCUGUGAUUAGGGAAGAACAAAUGUGGAAGUAACUAUGCACGUCUUGACGGUACCUAAUCAGAAAGCCACGGCUAACUACGUG
This 497-nucleotide ribosomal RNA is filed under the name uncultured bacterium. RNAcentral's name for it is "partial 16S ribosomal RNA". It matches the Rfam family "Bacterial small subunit ribosomal RNA", at positions 28 to 507 of the family's 1533-position model. The record is from RNAcentral.